Molecule: ribosomal RNA, 474 nt
Filed under: uncultured organism
Description: partial 16S ribosomal RNA
Rfam family: Bacterial small subunit ribosomal RNA
Source: RNAcentral
ACACUCCUGCGGGAGGCAGCAGUGGGGAAUUUUGGACAAUGGGCGAAAGCCUGAUCCAGCAAUGCCGCGUGAGUGAAGAAGGCCUUCGGGUUGUAAAGCUCUUUUGUCAGGGAAGAAACGGUGAGAGCUAAUAUCUCUUGCUAAUGACGGUACCUGAAGAAUAAGCACCGGCUAACUACGUGCCAGCAGCCGCGGUAAUACGUAGGGUGCAAGCGUUAAUCGGAAUUACUGGGCGUAAAGCGUGCGCAGGCGGUUUUGUAAGUCUGAUGUGAAAUCCCCGGGCUCAACCUGGGAAUUGCAUUGGAGACGGCAAGGCUAGAAUCUGGCAGAGGGGGGUAGAAUUCCACGUGUAGCAGUGAAAUGCGUAGAUAUGUGGAGGAACACCGAUGGCGAAGGCAGCCCCCUGGGUCAAGAUUGACGCUCAUGCACGAAAGCGUGGGGAGCAAACAGGAUUAGAUACCCGGGUAGUCCCAU